Molecule: ribosomal RNA, 464 nt
Filed under: uncultured bacterium
Lineage: Bacteria
Description: partial 16S ribosomal RNA
Rfam family: Bacterial small subunit ribosomal RNA
Source: RNAcentral
GACGAACGCUGGCGGCGUGCCUAACACAUGCAAGUCGAACGGUAAGGCCCCUUCAGGGGUUUCCGGGUAGCGAAGGGGUGCGUAACACGCGGGCAAGCUGCCCACGCCUUUGGGAUAUCAGCCGUAAAGAGCUGCUACUAACGGAAAUGACUUCUUAUCCCACAGGUUGAGGUGGUACGCCACGGCGGUCAGGGAUGGGAUCGCCGCCUUUCAGCUUGCUGGGGAGGUAAUGGCUCACCAAGGCUUCGAGGGGUUGCCGGCCUGAGGGGGGGACCGGCCACACUGGGACGGAGAUACGGCACAGACUCCUACGGGAGGCAGCGGUGGGGAGGAGGGCACAGUGGGCGCGAGCCAGAUGCAGCGACGCCGCGUGCGGGAAGACGGCCUUCGGGUUGGUAACCGCUUUCAGUAGAGACGAAGCGAACGUGACGGUACCUACAGAAGAAGGACCGGCUAACUACGUG